AAGUCGUAACAAGGUCUCCGUUGGUGAACCAGCGGAGGGAUCAUUACUGAGUUGCAAAACUCCCAAACCCAUGUGAACUCAUACCUAUACGUUGCUUCGGCGGACCCGCCCCGGCGCUCACGCGACCGGACCCAGGCGACCGUCGGGGGAAAACCAAAAACCACUGUUACCCAAUGUGAAACAUCUGAGUACCAAAACAAAUGAAUCAAAACUUUCAACAACGGAUCUCUUGGCUCUG
Molecule: unclassified non-coding RNA, 238 nt
Filed under: fungal sp.
Lineage: Eukaryota; Fungi
Description: partial internal transcribed spacer region
Rfam family: Eukaryotic small subunit ribosomal RNA (bases 1-46)
Source: RNAcentral